UAAAAAAAAUUGGCAGUGAUAUCAUAUUACUAAAAUUUCAUGUCAAGUUCUUACUAGUUUCUUGAAAUGGAGAGCAAGUUCUUACUGGUUUCUUGAAAUGGAGAUAAGCAUGUGAUGACAUGAAAAAAAACUUAUUAUUAAUUUUGGUGCACCUUAUUACUAAGUAAUACACUAUUACACAGAAAUGCUUUGCAUGCACUUCUCAAUGAAAG
This 212-nucleotide unclassified non-coding RNA is filed under the name Hevea brasiliensis (rubber tree). Lineage: Eukaryota; Viridiplantae; Streptophyta; Magnoliopsida; Malpighiales; Euphorbiaceae. The record is from RNAcentral.